Molecule: small nuclear RNA, 22 nt
Filed under: Arabidopsis thaliana (thale cress)
Lineage: Eukaryota; Viridiplantae; Streptophyta; Magnoliopsida; Brassicales; Brassicaceae
Description: snRNA_05898
Source: RNAcentral
AACAGUCAGCUCAGAACUGGUA